CCUACGGGAGGCAGCAGUCGAGAAUCAUUCACAAUGGGGGAAACGCUGAUGGUGCGACGCCGCGUGGGGGAAUGAAGGUCUUCGGAUUGUAAACCCCUGUCAUGUGGGAGCAAAUUAAAAAGAUAGUACCACAAGAGGAAGAGACGGCUAACUCUGUGCCAGCAGCCGCGGUAAUACAGAGGUCUCAAGCGUUGUUCGGAAUCACUGGGCGUAAAGCGUGCGUAGGCUGUUUCGUAAGUCUGGUGUGAAAGGCGCGGGCUCAACCCGCGGACCGCACAUGAUACUGCGAGACUAGAGUAAUGGAGGGGGAAGCGGAAUUCUUGGUGUAGCAGUGAAAUGCGUAGAUAUCGAGAGGAACACUCGUGGCGAAGGCGGGUUCCUGGACAUUAACUGACGCUGAGGCACGAAGGCCAGGGGAGCGAAAGGGAUUAGAUACCCUUGUAGUC
This 446-nucleotide ribosomal RNA is filed under the name uncultured bacterium. Its description in RNAcentral is "partial 16S ribosomal RNA". It matches the Rfam family "Bacterial small subunit ribosomal RNA", at positions 338 to 795 of the family's 1533-position model. The record is from RNAcentral.